UCUUGGUCCAAGCAAUUUCCCAACAAAAUUGAACUUUGGAUAUUGUUUGACAGGGAUCAGAACUCUCUCUGACAACUUUAUGUUCUUGUUGCUGAUAACAUCAAGGUAUUUCUUUUCUUCAUCUUCCUUCUUGCCUUCAGAACCCUGAAAUUUUUCAAUUUCGUCGGCCAGGAGGCGCAUGGCGUGCACAAAGGAGGGAUCCAGGCUGUCCUUCUCGGCCAUCAGCUCGGGCAGGUACUUCUCCUGCUCCAUCGCCUCGGGGCCGCGCCGCCUGGGCACGCCGGGGCGGGCUGCGCGGCCGCCGGCUGGCUCCGCGCCUCCGGCUGCCUCUUCAGCGCCCGCCCCGCCCGGCGUCCCACGGCUCGCAGCUGCCUCCCGGCUCGGCCUCCCCUGCCCGGGGGGCGCUCCCCGCCCCGGCACCGCCUCCGCCGUCCCCCGGCCGCGCAGGGGGGCGGGGGCUGGGGCGUGCGCGGCUCGCUCCGCGCCUGGCACUGCCGUACGUCCCG
This 506-nucleotide long non-coding RNA is filed under the name Gallus gallus (chicken). Lineage: Eukaryota; Metazoa; Chordata; Aves; Galliformes; Phasianidae. The record is from RNAcentral.